This 492-nucleotide ribosomal RNA is filed under the name uncultured bacterium. RNAcentral describes it as "partial 16S ribosomal RNA". It matches the Rfam family "Bacterial small subunit ribosomal RNA", at positions 29 to 507 of the family's 1533-position model. The record is from RNAcentral.
AGUGAACGCUGGCGGUAGGCCUAACACAUGCAAGUCGAACGGCAGCACAUUAAGAGCUUGCUCUUACGGGUGGCGAGUGGCGGACGGGUGAGGAAUACAUCGGAAUCUACUUUUUCGUGGGGGAUAACGUAGGGAAACUUACGCUAAUACCGCAUACGACCUACGGGUGAAAGCAGGAGAUCUUCGGACCUUGCGCGAUUGAAUGAGCCGAUUUCGGAUUAUCUAGUUGGCGGGGUAAAGGCCCACCAAGGCGACGAUCCGUAGCUGGUCUGAGAGGAUGAACAGCCACACUGGAACUGAGACACGGUCCAGACUCCUACGGGAGGCAGAAGUGGGGAAUAUUGGACAAUGGGCGCAAGACUGAUCCAGCCAUACCGCGUGGGUGAAGAAGGCCUUCGGGUUGUAAAGCCCUUUUGUUGGGAAAGAAAAGCAGCAGGUUAAUACCACGCUGUUCUGACGGUACCCAAAGAAUAAGCACCGGCUAACUUCGUG